This 433-nucleotide ribosomal RNA is filed under the name uncultured bacterium. RNAcentral's name for it is "partial 16S ribosomal RNA". It matches the Rfam family "Bacterial small subunit ribosomal RNA", at positions 29 to 507 of the family's 1533-position model. The record is from RNAcentral.
AACAAACGCUGGCGGCAGGCUUAACACAUGCAAGUCGAACGCACCUUUCGGGGUGAGUGGCAGACGGGUGAGUAACGCGUGGGAAUCUACCCUUCUCUACGGGAUAGCUCCGGGAAACUGGAAUUAAUACCGUAUACGUCCUGAGGGAGAAAGAUUUAUCGGGGAAGGAUGAGCCCGCGUUGGAUUAGCUAGUUGGUGGGGUAAGGGCCUACCAAGGCGACGAUCCAUAGCUGGUCUAAGAGGAUGAUCAGCCACAUUGGGACUGAGACACGGCCCAAACUCCUACGGGAGGCAGCAGUGGGGAAUAUUGGACAAUGGGCGCAAGCCUGAUCCAGCCAUGCCGCGUGAGUGAUGAAGGCCCUAGGGUUGUAAAGCUCUUUCAGUGGGGACGAUAAUGACGGUACCCACAGAAGAAGCCCCGGCUAACUUCGUG